Molecule: ribosomal RNA, 482 nt
Filed under: Fusarium solani
Lineage: Eukaryota; Fungi; Ascomycota; Sordariomycetes; Hypocreales; Nectriaceae
Also listed under: 1 other name
Description: eukaryotic LSU rRNA
Rfam family: Eukaryotic large subunit ribosomal RNA
Source: RNAcentral
CAACAGGGAUUGCCCCAGUAACGGCGAGUGAAGCGGCAACAGCUCAAAUUUGAAAUCUGGCUCUCGGGCCCGAGUUGUAAUUUGUAGAGGAUGCUUUUGGUGAGGUGCCUUCCGAGUUCCCUGGAACGGGACGCCACAGAGGGUGAGAGCCCCGUCUGGUUGGACACCGAGCCUCUGUAAAGCUCCUUCGACGAGUCGAGUAGUUUGGGAAUGCUGCUCUAAAUGGGAGGUAUAUGUCUUCUAAAGCUAAAUACCGGCCAGAGACCGAUAGCGCACAAGUAGAGUGAUCGAAAGAUGAAAAGAACUUUGAAAAGAGAGUUAAACAGUACGUGAAAUUGUUGAAAGGGAAGCGCUUGUGACCAGACUUGGGCUUGGUUGAUCAUCCGGGGUUCUCCCCGGUGCACUCUUCCGGCUCAGGCCAGCAUCAGUUCGCCCUGGGGGAUAAAGGCAGCGGGAAUGUGGCUCUCUCCGGGGAGUGUUAU